UACGUAGGGUGCUAGCGUUGUUCGGAAUCAUUGGGCGUAAAGAGCGUGUAGGCGGUCAGGUAGGUCCGUUGUGAAAACUCGAGGCUCAACCUCGAGACGCCGAUGGAAACCAUCUGACUAGAGUCCGGAAGAGGAGAGUGGAAUUCCUGGUGUAGCGGUGAAAUGCGCAGAUAUCAGGAAGAACACCCGUGGCUAAGGCGGCUCUCUAGUACGGUACUGACGCUGAGACGCGAAAGCGUGGGGAGCGAACAGG
Molecule: ribosomal RNA, 253 nt
Filed under: uncultured bacterium
Lineage: Bacteria
Description: partial 16S ribosomal RNA
Rfam family: Bacterial small subunit ribosomal RNA
Source: RNAcentral